RNAcentral lists this ribosomal RNA (348 nucleotides) under uncultured Helicobacter sp. RNAcentral describes it as "bacterial SSU rRNA". It matches the Rfam family "Bacterial small subunit ribosomal RNA", at positions 278 to 643 of the family's 1533-position model. The record is from RNAcentral. Lineage: Bacteria; Pseudomonadati; Campylobacterota; Epsilonproteobacteria; Campylobacterales; Helicobacteraceae.
GACGGGUAUCCGGCCUGAGAGGGUGAUCGGACACACUGGAACUGAGACACGGUCCAGACUCCUACGGGAGGCAGCAGUAGGGAAUAUUGCUCAAUGGGGGAAACCCUGAAGCAGCAACGCCGCGUGGAGGAUGAAGGUUUUAGGAUUGUAAACUCCUUUUGUGAGAGAAGAUAAUGACGGUAUCUCACGAAUAAGCACCGGCUAACUCCGUGCCAGCAGCCGCGGUAAUACGGAGGGUGCAAGCGUUACUCGGAAUCACUGGGCGUAAGGAGUGCGCAGGCGGGCUUGUAAGUCAGAUGUGAAAUCCYGUAGCUUAACUACAGAACUGCAUUYGAAACUAUGAGUCUA